CUCCUCCUUCCAAACUAAACUGCACCAAAGCCUUCUGCCCUGUUAGGGGCUGGGAAGGCCAAAAAGGAACAUGCCUGUUUUCUCCUUCUGAGUUUGGAACUGACUGAGAAAUAAGACCAAGAGACAGACCACUGGAGAUCUAAAUAUCAGCUUUAUUUAUUGAUAAAGCUGACCUGAACAGUGUGGCUUGACCUGCAGCCAAAUGGGUUCCUGAAAUGUCCCUUCUGAUCUUUGCUUACCCUGCAAAGCCGGCGUGGCCACACUCACCACAUGGCAGACCAGAAUGCAACUGUCCUGUGGACAGGCUGACUCUAAAAGGACACACAGAGAGAAAAAGCAGGGGCAGAUUCAUCAGAUGGUUUGCAGGUGGCAGUGGCCGAGGUUUAGUCUCACACAACACAACAAAUGAGAAAGGAGUCUUUAAAAAGAGAAGAAAUCUUACAGUAAAUCAUUCUUUGUUGAUUUGAGUUCCACAAUCUCUGCCAGAAACUCUGGAACUUGAGUACUACCAGAAAGAAACAAAAUGUGGAUAGACCUUGACAAACUGGAGCAGGUUCUGAGGAUCUGACCAUGUUGGUGUGAGUCUGAAGAUGCCAUCACGGGGAGAAUAGGGGGAAAGGAUCACCAUGACUGAAGGAAGCAACAUGUACUUUGAGCAUAAGAAAAAAAAAACGAGAAAAGGCUGGAAUUUAAAAGGAGGAUGGAAUAAGAAUGGGUGAGCUUCCUAGGGGUUUACAUAAUUAAAUGUGUAAGAAGUGGCCCCAGAACACAAGUUACAGUUGCCCUGAAUAAGGACUUUGCCCUACUCAUUUUUGUCUCUCAAGCAAAUAACACUGUGUUUGAU
Molecule: long non-coding RNA, 844 nt
Filed under: Sus scrofa (pig)
Lineage: Eukaryota; Metazoa; Chordata; Mammalia; Artiodactyla; Suidae
Description: lncRNA (ENSSSCG00025008267.1, ENSSSCG00035018156.1, ENSSSCG00065064246.1)
Source: RNAcentral